ACACUAUCAUUAACUGAAUCCAUAGGUUAAUGAGGCGAACCGGGGGAACUGAAACAUCUAAGUACCCCGAGGAAAAGAAAUCAACCGAGAUUCCCCCAGUAGCGGCGAGCGAACGGGGAGGAGCCCAGAGCCUGAAUCAGUGUGUGUGUUAGUGGAAGCGUCUGGAAAGGCGCGCGAUACAGGGUGACAGCCCCGUACACAAAAAUGCACAUGCUGUGAGCUCGAUGAGUAGGGCGGGACACGUGGUAUCCUGUCUGAAUAUGGGGGGACCAUCCUCCAAGGCUAAAUACUCCUGACUGACCGAUAGUGAACCAGUACCGUGAGGGAAAGGCGAAAAGAACCCCGGCGAGGGGAGUGAAAAAGAACCUGAAACCGUGUACGUACAAGCAGUGGGAGCACGCUUAGGCGUGUGACUGCGUACCUUUUGUAUAAUGGGUCAGCGACUUAUAUUCUGUAGCAAGGUUAACCGAAUAGGGGAGCCGAAGGGAAACCGAGUCUUAACUGGGCGUUAAGUUGCAGGGUAUAGACCCGAAACCCGGUGAUCUAGCCAUGGGCAGGUUGAAGGUUGGGUAACACUAACUGGAGGACCGAACCGACUAAUGUUGAAAAAUUAGCGGAUGACUUGUGGCUGGGGGUGAAAGGCCAAUCAAACCGGGAGAUAGCUGGUUCUCCCCGAAAGCU
RNAcentral lists this ribosomal RNA (681 nucleotides) under Escherichia coli. RNAcentral describes it as "partial 23S ribosomal RNA". It matches the Rfam family "Bacterial large subunit ribosomal RNA", at positions 145 to 867 of the family's 2925-position model. Lineage: Bacteria; Pseudomonadati; Pseudomonadota; Gammaproteobacteria; Enterobacterales; Enterobacteriaceae. The record is from RNAcentral.